RNAcentral lists this unclassified non-coding RNA (200 nucleotides) under uncultured Agaricales. RNAcentral describes it as "sequence contains ITS2". The record is from RNAcentral. Lineage: Eukaryota; Fungi; Basidiomycota; Agaricomycetes; Agaricales.
AAUUCUCAAACCUGCUGGUCUUUAUUGACUAUGUAGGCUUUGGAUGUGGGGGUUGCUGGCCUAACGGUCGGCUCUCCUUAAAUGCAUUAGUGGCUUGUCGAUCCCCAUUCACUUGGUGUGAUAGUAAUAUCUACAUUGAGGAUGGCUAGGUCAUGCUAUGACAACUGCUUUCUAACCGUCCUUUGGACAAUUUGAACCAU